This 83-nucleotide ribosomal RNA is filed under the name Coprobacillus sp. AM37-9BH. The record is from RNAcentral. Lineage: Bacteria; Bacillati; Bacillota; Erysipelotrichia; Erysipelotrichales; Coprobacillaceae.
UCUGGUAAUGAUAGCAUGAUGGACACACCUGUACCCAUUCCGAACACAGAAGUUAAGCAUCAUCGCGGCGAAGAUAGUACAUU